GCUCCCAUCGUCUAGCGGCCUAGGACGUCGCCCUCUCACGGCGAAGACCGCGGGUUCGAAUCCCGCUGGGAGCG
RNAcentral lists this transfer RNA (74 nucleotides) under Deltaproteobacteria bacterium. RNAcentral describes it as "tRNA-Glu". It matches the Rfam family "tRNA". From Rfam's summary of the family: Transfer RNA (tRNA) molecules are approximately 80 nucleotides in length. Their secondary structure includes four short double-helical elements and three loops (D, anti-codon, and T loops). Further hydrogen bonds mediate the characteristic L-shaped molecular structure. tRNAs have two regions of fundamental functional importance: the anti-codon, which is responsible for specific mRNA codon recognition, and the 3' end, to which the tRNAs corresponding amino acid is attached (by aminoacyl-tRNA synthetases). tRNAs cope with the degeneracy of the genetic code in two manners: having more than one tRNA (with a specific anti-codon) for a particular amino acid; and 'wobble' base-pairing, i.e. permitting non-standard base-pairing at the 3rd anti-codon position. The record is from RNAcentral. Lineage: Bacteria; Pseudomonadati; Myxococcota; Myxococcia.